RNAcentral lists this ribosomal RNA (263 nucleotides) under uncultured bacterium. RNAcentral describes it as "partial 16S ribosomal RNA". It matches the Rfam family "Bacterial small subunit ribosomal RNA", at positions 293 to 547 of the family's 1533-position model. The record is from RNAcentral.
UGAGAGGACGACCAGCCACACUGGCACUGAGAUACGGGCCGAGACUCCUACGGGAGGCAGCAGUGAGGAAUAUUGCGCAAUGGGGGAAACCCUGACGCAGCAACGCCGCGUGUGGGAAGAAGGCCUUCGGGUCGUAAACCACUUUUGCACGGGACGAAAAAGGGAUAUCGAACAAAUAUCCCCGAUGACGGUACCGUGAGAAUAAGCCACGGCUAACUCUGUGCCAGCAGCCGCGGUAAGACAGAGGUGGCAAGCGUUGUUCG